Molecule: unclassified non-coding RNA, 209 nt
Filed under: Hevea brasiliensis (rubber tree)
Lineage: Eukaryota; Viridiplantae; Streptophyta; Magnoliopsida; Malpighiales; Euphorbiaceae
Source: RNAcentral
UGGAAGUAGCUCACUGAGUCUUGAUACUUGGGGAAGCAACCGGGAACGAGUAGUUUUCGAUAGUGGCAGCUCAUACACAUACUUCACAAAAGAAGCGUAUUCCCAGUUGGUUGCAAAUCUUGAAGAACUCUCAGCGUUUGGGCUUAUUAUUCAAGAUUCGUCAGAUACCAUUUGUUGGAAAACUGAACCUUCUAUCAGAUCUGUUAAAG